This 375-nucleotide ribosomal RNA is filed under the name uncultured Glomeromycotina. RNAcentral's name for it is "LSU rRNA". Lineage: Eukaryota; Fungi; Glomeromycota. The record is from RNAcentral.
UUGAAAGGGAAACGAUUGAAGUCAGUCAUACCAACGGGAAAUCAACCUUUUGAGCUCGGUCUCGUGGGUUUUGAAGAGUUUCAGAGCCUUCGGAUUCGCGGGAUUGGGAUCUCUUGGCGUACUUUUUCGUACGGUUAGUCAACAUCGGUUUUGAAUGUCAUAAAAUGACUGGAGGAAUGUAGCUUCGAUCUCGUAUUGAAGUGUUAUAGCCUUUGGUAGAUGUGAUGUUUGAGACCGAGGAUUGCAACGGAUACCCUUCAGGGCUAUUCGUCUGAUCUCUGAUACGUUGCCUUGAUGUUGAAAGCUUGCUUAUGAUGUUAGGGUAUUACGGUCAAAAGGUUAGAACGAAUUACAUUCGUUAAGGAUGUUGACGUA